CCUACGGGAGGCAGCAGUAAGGAAUCUUCCACAAUGGACGAAAGUCUGAUGGAGCAACGCCGCGUGCAGGAUGAAGGCUUUCGGGUCGUAAACUGCUUUUAUAUGGGAAGAUUAUGACGGUACCAUAUGAAUAAGGACCGGCUAACUACGUGCCAGCAGCCGCGGUAAUACGUAGGGUCCAAGCGAUAUCCGGAAUUACUGGGCGUAAAGCGUGUGUAGGUGGAUUAAUAAGUGUGAUGCGAAAUCCGGCGGCUCAACCGUUUGGACUGUGUCGCAUACUGUUAGUCUAGAGGACGGCAGAGGUAAGUGGAAUUACGGGUGUAGCAGUGAAGUGCGUAGAUAUCCGUAGGAACACCAAUGGCGAAGGCAGCUUACUGGGCCACACCUGACACUGAGACACGAAAGCGUGGGGAGCGAACAGGAUUAGAUACCCUGGUAGUCCACGCCGUAAACCGAUGCAUACUAUUAGUAUGGGGUAUCGACCCCCGUGUGCUGAGAAGCUAACGCGAUAAGUAUGCCGCCNGGGGAGUACGAGCGCAAGCUUAAAACUCAAAUGAAUUGACGG
Molecule: ribosomal RNA, 565 nt
Filed under: uncultured bacterium
Lineage: Bacteria
Description: bacterial SSU rRNA
Rfam family: Bacterial small subunit ribosomal RNA
Source: RNAcentral